Molecule: ribosomal RNA, 490 nt
Filed under: uncultured bacterium
Lineage: Bacteria
Description: partial 16S ribosomal RNA
Rfam family: Bacterial small subunit ribosomal RNA
Source: RNAcentral
AUUGAACGCUGGCGGCAGGCCUAACACAUGCAAGUCGAACGGUAACAGGAAGAAGCUUGCUUCUUUGCUGACGAGUGGCGGACGGGUGAGUAAUGUCUGGGAAACUGCCUGAUGGAGGGGGAUAACUACUGGAAACGGUAGCUAAUACCGCAUAACGUCGCAAGACCAAAGAGGGGGACCUUCGGGCCUCUUGCCAUCGGAUGUGCCCAGAUGGGAUUAGCUAGUAGGUGGGGUAACGGCUCACCUAGGCGACGAUCCCUAGCUGGUCUGAGAGGAUGACCAGCCACACUGGAACUGAAACACGGUCCAGACUCCUACGGGAGGCAGCAGUGGGGAAUAUUGCACAAUGGGCGCAAUCCUGAUGCAGCCAUGCCGCGUGUAUGAAGAAGGCCUUCGGGUUGUAAAGUACUUUCAGCGGGGAGGAGGGGAGUAAAGUUAAUACCUUUGCUCAUUGACGUUACCCGAAGAAGAAGCACCGGCUAACUCCGUG